Molecule: ribosomal RNA, 1345 nt
Filed under: uncultured bacterium
Lineage: Bacteria
Description: bacterial SSU rRNA
Rfam family: Bacterial small subunit ribosomal RNA
Source: RNAcentral
GACGAACGCUGGCGGCGUGCUUAACACAUGCAAGUCGAACGAUGAAGCGGUGCUUGCACCGUGGAUUAGUGGCGAACGGGUGAGUAAUACGUGAGUGACCUACCUUUGACUCUGGGAUAAGCCUGGGAAACUGGGUCUAAUACCGGAUACGACCAAUCUCUGCAUGGGGUGUUGGUGGAAAGCGUUAUGGAGUGGUUUUAGAUGGGCUCACGGCCUAUCAGCUUGUUGGUGAGGUAAUGGCUUACCAAGGCGACGACGGGUAGCCGGCCUGAGAGGGUGACCGGCCACACUGGGACUGAGACACGGCCCAGACUCCUACGGGAGGCAGCAGUGGGGAAUAUUGCACAAUGGGCGCAAGCCUGAUGCAGCGACGCCGCGUGAGGGAUGACGGCCUUCGGGUUGUAAACCUCUGUUAGCAUCGAAGAAGCGAAAGUGACGGUAGGUGCAGAGAAAGCGCCGGCUAACUACGUGCCAGCAGCCGCGGUAAUACGUAGGGCGCGAGCGUUGUCCGGAAUUAUUGGGCGUAAAGAGCUUGUANGCGGUUGGUCGCGUCUGCUGUGAAGGCCGGGGCUUAACUCCGGUUUUGCAGUGGGUACGGGCUAACUAGAGUGCAGUAGGGGAGACUGGAAUUCCUGGUGUAGCGGUGGAAUGCACAGAUAUCAGGAGGAACACCGAUGGCGAAGGCAGGUCUCUGGGCUGUAACUGACGCUGAGAAGCGAAAGCAUGGGGAGCGAACAGGAUUAGAUACCCUGGUAGUCCAUGCCGUAAACGUUGGGCACUAGGUGUGGGGGACAUUCCACGUUUUCCGCGCCGUAGCUAACGCAUUAAGUGCCCCGCCUGGGGAGUACGGCCGCAAGGCUAAAACUCAAAGGAAUUGACGGGGGCCCGCACAAGCGGCGGAGCAUGCGGAUUAAUUCGAUGCAACGCGAAGAACCUUACCAAGGCUUGACAUGCAUUAGAUCGCGUCAGAGAUGGCGUUUCCCUUCGGGGCUGGUGUACAGGUGGUGCAUGGUUGUCGUCAGCUCGUGUCGUGAGAUGUUGGGUUAAGUCCCGCAACGAGCGCAACCCUCGUUCUAUGUUGCCAGCGGUUCGGCCGGGGACUCAUAGGAGACUGCCGGGGUCAACUCGGAGGAAGGUGGGGAUGACGUCAAAUCAUCAUGCCCCUUAUGUCUUGGGCUUCACGCAUGCUACAAUGGCCGGUACAGAGGGUUGCGAUACUGUGAGGUGGAGCUAAUCCCUUAAAGCCGGUCUCAGUUCGGAUUGGGGUCUGCAACUCGACCCCAUGAAGUCGGAGUCGCUAGUAAUCGCAGAUCAGCAACGCUGCGGUGAAUACGUUCCCGGGCCU